Long non-coding RNA from Gasterosteus aculeatus aculeatus (three-spined stickleback), 9032 nucleotides. Lineage: Eukaryota; Metazoa; Chordata; Actinopteri; Perciformes; Gasterosteidae. The record is from Ensembl.
AAUUUAUUUAUUUUUGGCUCAAUCACAUGUCUUUGUAAAAUGACUGUAAUAUCUGUGUAAUUUUCAAUAGUCUGAUGUGUAAUCUAAGAACUUGAUUACGAGAGGCCUAUUUAGACCCCUGUUAAUACAAAAAUGAUGCAGGCUCUGGUAAGGCAGAUUAGAGAUCGGAUGGAAGCGUUUUAUGGUCAACCAGCUUGUCUCACUGACUUAAUAAUUGCUGGCGUCCCCAGAGAGCACCUUAGCCCCUGGCAAAACAGCUGCAGGAAGUCUGAGUCAAGUCCUCUAAGCAGGACACAGCGUUCCAAUCAAAGAGACGCCAGUCCGCCGGCAACCAACUGUUACACCCUGGGAUCCGGAUAUCAAAAAUUACAUCAGAGCACUCGCGUGAAGUGUCUGUAAAGGUCAAACGGAAGACAUCACGACUACCGACAGGGUCUUUUACCUCCCCACCACUCAGUGAAAUCUACAGGUCGAAAGGGAGGCCAAGUCGACGAUUAAAAAAGGAAAAAACAACCCUAAGAGACAGUAAUCACUGUAAUGAUGAAGAGGAAACUGACAUUUUGAGAACAGAGUGGGACCACUUUGCUGUACUCCUUUCAAAGCUGAAGCUGUGCUGGAAGCUGAGACAUGCUGCGUUUAGCAAUACAUCCAGGAAACUGGCAGAGGACUGGAGUUGUGAAGCUAUAUUGAGAGACAUUAGAAGAUCUAUUCAGAUGGUAAAUAAAUGUAAUACCAAGCAGUUGCAAGGCAAUGGACAUCAUUUGUCAUCAAUCGCUGAUGUCGAGCACUAAAACAGCUACCCUUUAGAAGUGAUCGGCCCGCUUUUAAUCCUAGAGAUGAAGUAUAAGUUUAUGAAAGAUAUGAAGUUGCCAUAGAAAGCACAGCCUAUCCAACACAACGCCAGACAUACCUGUAAAGUGCAGAGUAAAAGGCAAUAAUUAAAAAAAAAGGAGUGUAGAACAAGAAACAUGUAAUAUGGCCGUUUAAGAUAAAAUCUGAAGCUAAAAGCAUUGGCUCAUGGACAAGACGAGUUGUGUCGCGUUUUAUCCAAAUAAGCCUUAUUACAUUUGUUAUUGUGCAUAAUUAGUGCAAUAAUUACACUAGUUGUAUAAGUUGUUUAGCUCUCCAAAUAUCCUAGUAUUUUUGCCAUCGAGGGACCCUUGAGAACAUCUUCUCAGAUCAUCCAAUUAGUAGGCUUAUUGGCGCACGUGCAAUUUGAUUAAUUUGAUAGCUGUCAAGGACUUAAAUAAAGCAUUGAGGAAAGUAGAGGCAGAAAGAUUGUUCCAAACAAAGCUCUCAACCACUCCACUAAUAGGUGGAGUAUCGGUAAUUUUAAAAGGUGUUUAAAAGGAGAGUGAGAGAUCUGAGUAAACUAAAUAUCUGCUCAGUCAAAGUAACUUAUCAACCUCUCUUACAAAGAAUUCAUUUGCACACUCGCACAAAAACACUCUCACACGUACUGAGCAAACGAAAAACAUGUUGCACAUUACCUCUGCCCCGCAUUGAGACAGAAGGCCAUGUGAUUUGGCUUUAUUUGGGAUAAUUGUAGUAAUUGCAUUACCAAAAAACGUCUAUAAAAUGGUCAAUAAUCACAUCGAAUGCAUUACAUCAACAACCCUUCGCAACCAAUUAGUUAUCUAAGCGUACAGUAUACACAAAUUGGUAACGUCAGCAUUUGAGUGCCUGUCUAUCAUUCUCCUCUCGUCGAAGCCUCACACCAAGGCCUAUUUGGCAAAGAUGUACUGAAUGAUGUACCCAAACUGGGCUUUAUCCAGACUUUCACUUAAAAAGUACCUGCCUUUCCACUCCAUUGAUAAAGUGGUAGCUUUUGAGUCACCUCCACUCCAACCACUUUGAUGUUCCCCUACUUAUUCAACUAAGUGUGCCAUUUAUCCGCUCACAACAGUACUUUUUGCGCUAUAGUCUUUGCAGAUUUAGCAGUAUUAGCUUUAUGAUUCCAAUCAGUUCUUGCAAUCCUUAAAUAAGGCAAAACUGGGCUUUUGUAGCCUCCAGAAAGUCUGAAGACUGAAAAUGUUAACAUAAACAGUUAGUUAGUAAGGGACAAGAAACUGCAGUUUAGAUUCAUUGGAAAAUCUAUGGUUUAUAGAAGAUCAUGUUAAUCUUGAAAUAUGCUGACACAGCUGAAACUGAGUUUGUACGCUGCACCUGACGUGCUGCAUGUAAUUAAGAAUAACAGGGAAAAGGACAGAGAAUGGAAAGGGAUGCUUGUCAAAGGAAAAAAACUGAGAGGCCACCGGAGAAGAGACCAAGACAAUUGUGUGAAUCCCCAGCGGUGCUCCACAGAGCAGAACUUAAUGCUAGGCAUCUUAACCCACGCACAGGUACACAUUUCUGCGCAGGGCUUGUAUGUCUCAAUGAGCCUCGCCUUGCCCUGGGCCCAAGCUUAAGAAGCUGACAGAAAUCUAGCUCCCUACUGCGCACGCAUUGAUCGCUAAAAUUGACAGCUAAACACUACACCAGCAGAUUCGUCAACAGCAAACAUGAGUCAACAAGCGGUGUAUUCGCUAAUUAUUAAAGAAAUGUAAAAAGCGAUGCAGAAUGGAUUUUUAAUAGUCUUAAUAACAUCAGUAGGAAUUGAAGACAAAAGCAAUCUUUACUUUUUUUAGGAUGCUGCCACUUUCUGAUUGUAUCAACUGUCAGCUGACUGAAGGAGUUGCAUGGACUCAGUAGCUACAUACUAUCGGACUGAGAAUGAGUGAUGAAGUCAGUGUUAUGUUAACAUUUGAAUGAAUGUGUGAUGAUCAGAACAUCACAAUUCUUGCUGCCUCAACUUUUCUUAAUCUUCUGUGUGACCAUUGAUUUUUUGCUCAAUCUGAGGGCACGCUGUUUCAUGGAUUCCGCGACAUGAAUUUCUUAAGUGGGAUCUUGGAUUUGAAGUUUAUUCUCUGUGGCCUUCAGUGGUUCGAUAUAAAAGUGUCAAUUAAUCGCCUGAAAUGUAAAUUUGUUGUGGUUCAGAGCAGGAUGCCAAAUCUAUGAGCACGAUAUGUUUAAGCAAUGAGUGAUCUUGAAAUAACUGCUCUCAAUGUAUUCUAAUGCGCUAAGCCCAUUAUAGUUGAGUUUGGGACAUAAAAUGGGCCGUGAACCGAACUGUUUCCCCAAAUGAUUGGAAUGGUUUAUUAAGUCUAAACAGUAUUUAUUGGGUGACUGCCUUUCAAAACCUCUAAAUAUGUAGACAUGCAAUAAGCAUAUUUCAUUGCUGAGCAAAACCACACAAUGCUAAAAACUACAAAUAUAUUAUAGAAUAUAAUUUCUAGCCAUGUAUGUGUCAGGGGAUGCGUGGGAGGCAGGACUCAAAUGCAGAGUUUAAAGAAAAAAGACUUUUGACAAUGACGCGACAAGUGACACAAGAGACACACUUCUUAAAUACACUAGGGAGGUGCAGGUGAUUGGACACAAGUGGAAACAAUCAGACAAUCACAGACGAUGACAGGACAAGUUAGGAAGUGAAGUAACCCGGGGAGACAAGAAUCAUAAAACUACAAAAUAAGACAAGAAAUAAACCCACACCAUGACAGUAUGAGGUAUGCUGGCUGGUUGCUUUGUUAGUCUACCACUUUAGAAAAGACUGGUAAAACUCAACAGUAAAUUGAGGACAUGUUGUACAUUUAAAGUCCCAGACCAAUGGAAUGUUAAACAUUUUCCAUUUUGACCAAAUACCAGUGUAACUAACAUUCCAAACAGUCUAGUUGCACAAUUGUCAUCCCCUUUGCCCAAAGCACCUCUGUACAAUACAGACUUUUCAACGUAACUCAACAGUCAAUGAACUCACCAAAAUACAUUUAUGUAACACAGUGAAUUAAUCUUACUAGCUGGAUUGAUAUAUCAGAGCAAAGAUACCAAUAUCAACAACUCCAUUCAUCCAUCCACCUGUAGGUGCAAACCAAGACCAAGUGGCAGCACACAACCAGCUCCUCUUGAGGACAUAGAUACCAAGCCGGCGUUCUGCCACUGUUACUGGUUAGACAUGCAUGUUAAAUGUGGUUCGACUUCCAGACUGACCAGUUUUGGUCCUUAUGUAUGGGCAAACACAGGUCAGUUUUUAUUCAAACAGGCUGAAAGGGCAGGGUCAUAUUUUGCUAUAUUGAUUGUGCUGAUGGCUUCGCAGCACUACAUCCAACCUGUAUUGAAACCGGCAAAAUCUGGAAUUGAUUGCGCCUUGGGCCCGCGGCCCAAUUUGAAAUCUGAAAAUCUUUUGUGGCCCACCCAAACCUUUAAUCACAACUCUGAUCAAAACAUAAACUAGGGAUGAUUGGAUGACCUUAAGAAUUUAACCGAUUAAAAAUGUAUAAAUGUAUAUGUAAACCGACAAUGUAUGUUUUGUAUACCAUUUUCUCUGGAGCUCAUAUAUAUUUACUUUAAUACUACAAGAGGGCGCCCCAUUUGACAUUGUUUUGUUUGGCGGCGCCUUUUGUUGAAUAACGACAGGCGGACAAGAGCAGCCGUUUCGAGCGAGAGCCUUAUUGUUUUAUUAAUCUGUUUGUUUACAUUGUUUGUGCUUCGACAAUUAAUGUUUCACGUGACUAAUGUGCCGCUAGAAUUGUUCAAAUAAUACUUCUCAUAAAACUGAGAAAAAAAUGUGCGUUUUGUAUCUUAUCAAUUAUCAAUCGUUUUAAGUAAAAUACAGAAAUUUGCAACCCUAAUGUUACGACCAGGUCUUAGACGCAACAGGAAAGAGCGAGAACACUAUCAAACUUUGUGUUUGUUUUUUUUGUAUUUAUUUGGGGCUGGGAAAACAGCUUUAGGAGCCAACAAGGCCGAAAUAAAAAACAAAACACCUCUUACCUUUAAAAGGAAACUCACUAACCUAAGCAAACAAAAAAUAAAAUCAAUAUACACCGUUCUUCCCUAACUCCUUAUCUAACAAAAACAGAUGACAAAAAGAAAGAAAAUGUCGUCGACCUCCCUACUUCCCUGCACAAUAUAUACGAGUGUUAAAAAUAGGUUUAAUGUACAACUAUAUACACAGCAAACGGAUCCAAAAGGGCAAGGCAAGAAUCAAGGCCGGAAUAACACGUAAUUUACAUCAUAAAUAUUUUUAUAUUAAUUUCAAACUUUUCAAAAUUUAAAAUUUAAAAACAUUUUAUUUAUUUACUGUAAAUGACCUCUCGCGGCCCACCUGCCGUACCUUCGCGGUCCACCAGUGAGAAUCGCUGCUUUAGGCUAUAGUAUAGCAAAGUCUUAAAAUAUCCUACCCUUUUCAAUUAGUUAUUUCAAUUAGUUAUUUCAUAAAUGAGGGAACCAGUUUGAUGCAAGCUUCCUAAUUGGCUCAUCAAAGUACAUUGCCUUUACAAAACUCAAUGGCAUUAAUACAUUACAUCAGGGGUCCUCAACCACUGGGCCGCAGAGAAAUAUAUGUAUAUUUUUUUAAUUGACUUCAUUUUGUGAGGCAAAAAAGGUUCUGGACUCCUGCAUUAUAUUAUGACGUUGUGAACACUUUUUAUUUGGUUUCCAACACAACAAUGGAACAACUAUUGUCUUACAGGCCAAAAGCUAUUUGGUGCACAACCAACAUGAAUGAAAUCAAAAUUCAUGAAAGUUGGCUUAAUAUCAAGCCUUUUUAAAAAUUUAAUGGAGUCCUUCUACCAUCCUCUGCCAGAACUGCCAUGCCUCCUAAAUGUCAUUAGUAAAAUAGUUGACAGUUCAACAUUGGCCCAGCAGCAGAAACUUAUUGCUAAAGUGUCUAAUUAAUGUUUAUCCCAAUAGUAAUCUUACAAAUAGCCUGACAAGUUUUUUACCAUACCUUAAGGCAAUACGGGCCUUUUUGACGUUCACAAACAGCUCCUUGUUGUUGCAGACAAUAAUAGAGAAAAAAACAAUGUAAGGUUUCAUCAGCACUAGUCCACUAAAAGAGGAAAUAAACAGUAGGGCUGUCAACAAUAAUGUAUUAUUCUAUGCAAUUAAUGUGGCCUAGAUUAUUGCAACAAAAUAUUUUAACGUAGUUAACGUUCGUUUUGUUUACUUCCCGGAAGUAAACUGGAAGUAGAAGUUGACCGCCGAAACGAAACAGCAGUCAGUUACAUCAAAUGGAGAAAGCUUUUUGCAUUGGAAGUAAAACAAACUAACAGAGGCGCGACAUACAGCGAGAACUAUGCAGAGGAAUUACUCCACGUGUCAAACAGAAGGUGGGUGAGUGGCAAAUGGACCACUUUAAGCACCGUUAUGCUAAGCUAGGUGCUAUGCUACGCUAGCAGCUAGGCUACUUCCAUCCCAACAUCUGAAGUCUGCAGAGGACCACCACUGUGUCCCUAAAAUACCGUGGUUUGGAAACGUCCCGGCUAAAUGUGGGGAGAUUGUUGGCACUUCAAAACACAGGAGUCAAAUUGUGGAGAGUUGAAAGCAAAGUGCACGAGGACAGCAGGAGUCGCUUGUUCAACAUGUUCCACCGGGUGGAAUUCUGCCUCAGAGAUGAUCAAAUGUGUGUAGUUUUGUGUUUAAAAUAACAUCAACAAUCAAACAACGUUUAAAGUGAUUACUCAUUAUUUUUAACAUUUAGUCUUCAGAAGAAAAACAAACAUUCAUUCAAAACAACAUUCAUUAAUUGUCAUUAAUCAAGAUUAAUGAAUUUCAAAAUGAUUUGCAAGUAAUUAGUUAAUUUUCUUAAGAAAACAAGAAGUUAUCAAAUAUAUAUCGUUUAACCCUAAACAAACAAACACAACCCCAAAUGCCUUCUAGUUGACAAUGCUCGCAUUAUGCACGUAAAGUAUCAUCGGAGUUUCCGCUUACAACUCCUAAACAGCUAAAAAGCUUUUGGAGCACGAGCACACACAUUGUGCCUCUUUAGCAUUUCACAGUUAAGCUGGCCGAGAAGCUAACUGGCUCCGUGCUUGGAUCAAAUUGUGUGUGUGUGCGUGUGUGCUUGCUUGUCUGAAAGAGUGUGCAACGUAAUUCUUCUCUAUAAUUGUGAUAAAUGAUGUAUUCGGUCUGGUCCUUCAAACACUUCCCACCCAUUCUCUGUAACUUCUUUCUCUUUGUCAAGUUCCAAAACUUUCGGUCCCUUUCUCUCUCUCCCCCACUCUCUUCCUCACCCUCUCAAACGAGGCCUAAUCACAAGAACAAUGCGGAUGUGGUCAUUAGACUCAUAGUGAUGGCAAAGCUAACAAGACAGUGUUAAUCUCUCUCUCUUUCUUUGUUUGUUUCUUUAAUGAGAUGUCAUUAAGGCCCACAGGCUUUUCAGAAUCAGAAUCAAUCAGCUGUAUUGGCUAUGUAUGCAUACACACAAUGAUGGACGAAUAGAGACUAGAUGCGUGUGCAUACAUGGAAUUUGAAUCUGGUUACUCUUUGGUCUCAAUGUAAAUUUACAAGAAAUUUAGAAAAAAAAGAUAAUACUAACAAAAAAAGCAGAUGUAGGUAUAAACAUUCAAUAAUUAUACAAUAUACAUAUACACACACAGACACAUAAGAACAAUCAACUGUACAACAAAGACAACAAUUGAGGUGCAAAGUAUAGUGCAAAUGGUGGGGAUGCUGUCUGACUGGUUAGAUGUUCCUCAUGAAGACGGCAUGCUGGAUGAGGCUGUUCCUGUGUCUGGUGGUUGGUUGGUUUUGGCGCACAGUGCUCUCUAGCACCUAGCAGAGGGAAGGAGAUGGAAAAGGUUGUGUCCAAUGUGUGAAGGGUCUGCACUGAUUUUUUAUGCUGUUCCCUGACUCUAGGAGGUGUACAAGCCCGGGAAAGAAGGCAAGCUGAAGCCAAUGAUUCUCUCUGCAGACCUUUUGAUGUGUUGUAGUCUGUUCCUGUCCUAAAGAAAAGAGACUGGAUGAUGACUGAGUAGAACAGAAAUUCUGGUGGUGCUUCUUCCCGAUGGGGUUGUUGUUAGAGGCCCAUUUCAGGUCCCGGCAGAUUGUGGAUCCCAGAAUUCUGAAGGUUUUGACCACACCUCCAUGGAAGUUUCCCUUGACACCAGUUGAAUGACCUUGAGGAUCCGUGUUCCUAGGGAAUGCGCUGCCAACUUCCAUGGUGCGUUUCUGACAACAAAAAAAAAAUAUAGGUCUGUUUAUGCCUGGGGUGUGUUUUAGUUCAGCUGCAGAGGGGACAAAGUGGGGGAGAGCCUCCCAGCCCGAACAUUGGGGUGGGUGCGGUACCAUUGCCCGACAACUCUGGAGGCAUCCAUUAGCCUGGCAGAGGCCAAUAGCCGGAUGCGCGGUGAGGUAUACAGCAGUAGCCUCUACCAUGGCUUAUACCAGCCCCACAGCUGUCACCCUUCCCCCAGGCCCGCAAUCCACCGGUCCCCCUCCCAACUCCCUGUGAGUUGGGAGGGGGACCCUCUUAACCAACAGGGCAAGUUGGCUGUGUGGGCAGCCCGGAUGUUUGUUGAUGGAGGUGCGGGAAGCCCAGACACCCGCUGAUGUCGGUGCCGCAGGUGAUCUAUAGCUGUGACACAAUGUGGUCAGACACUGCAGACGAAGAGGGGAAACGAGCAAAUUACACUCCACUGAUUCACUCCACUGACUCUACAUUACAUUGUACUCUGCCUUUGACCAAGUGAUUCAAAUCCAUGGUUGGUUGGUGCGUCCUGGCGCAGCACAGUCGUAUCCACACUUUUCAGUGAUUAGGGACAGGCUAUAACGAGUGAGUCAUAACACUCAGGAUAAACAUGUUAGGAAAACACCCCGUUGUUGGAGCCAACGGGAAAGUAUUUUUCCAGCGGCUCCCUAUAACCCGAUAGCUGGCAACAUAGGACAUGGAAAAACACUUGACCGUAUAAAGCCCUGAUUUUAUUGGCCAAAUAUCGGGGGGUAUGUACGCUGCUGGUACGCAUCCUGCUAAUUGUGUCAAAAGGUAAAACACCUGGCCAUACUGAGGGCGCCUUUGCGUCCUCUUUCAUUAAUGGAGGAAAUCAACAUGGACUUCAUCGGGCCAUUUCAUUGGAAUUCACACGGAUAUUGUUUUGUGUUCUUCUGGAUCACGCAACACAGAGGCAGUGCCAUUGCGCAACACUUUUACAAAGAGUGUCGCACAAGCUCUGUUUCAGGUCAUCUCCCGAGUUGGGAUCCUUAAAAAAAUUCUGACUGAC